GAUGAACGCUGGCGGCGUGCCUAAUACAUGCAAGUCGAGCGAACGGACGAGAAGCUUGCUUCUCUGAUGUUAGCGGCGGACGGGUGAGUAACACGUGGAUAACCUACCUAUAAGACUGGGAUAACUUCGGGAAACCGGAGCUAAUACCGGAUAAUAUUUUGAACCGCAUGGUUCAAAAGUGAAAGACGGUCUUGCUGUCACUUAUAGAUGGAUCCGCGCUGCAUUAGCUAGUUGGUAAGGUAACGGCUUACCAAGGCAACGAUGCAUAGCCGACCUGAGAGGGUGAUCGGCCACACUGGAACUGAGACACGGUCCAGACUCCUACGGGAGGCAGCAGUAGGGAAUCUUCCGCAAUGGGCGAAAGCCUGACGGAGCAACGCCGCGUGAGUGAUGAAGGUCUUCGGAUCGUAAAACUCUGUUAUUAGGGAAGAACAUAUGUGUAAGUAACUGUGCACAUCUUGACGGUACCUAAUCAGAAAGCCACGGCUAACUACGUGCCAGCAGCCGCGGUAAUACGUAGGUGGCAAGCGUUAUCCGGAAUUAUUGGGCGUAAAGCGCGCGUAGGCGGUUUUUUAAGUCUGAUGUGAAAGCCCACGGCUCAACCGUGGAGGGUCAUUGGAAACUGGAAAGCUUGAGUGCAGAAGAGGAAAGUGGAAUUCCAUGUGUAGCGGUGAAAUGCGCAGAGAUAUGGAGGAACACCAGUGGCGAAGGCGACUUUCUGGUCUGUAACUGACGCUGAUGUGCGAAAGCGUGGGGAUCAAACAGGAUUAGAUACCCUGGUAGUCCACGCCGUAAACGAUGAGUGCUAAGUGUUAGGGGGUUUCCGCCCCUUAGUGCUGCAGCUAACGCAUUAAGCACUCCGCCUGGGGAGUACGACCGCAAGGUUGAAACUCAAAGGAAUUGACGGGGACCCGCACAAGCGGUGGAGCAUGUGGUUUAAUUCGAAGCAACGCGAAGAACCUUACCAAAUCUUGACAUCCUUUGACAACUCUAGAGAUAGAGCUUUCCCCUUCGGGGGACAAAGUGACAGGUGGUGCAUGGUUGUCGUCAGCUCGUGUCGUGAGAUGUUGGGUUAAGUCCCGCAACGAGCGCAACCCUUAAGCUUAGUUGCCAUCAUUAAGUUGGGCACUCUAAGUUGACUGCCGGUGACAAACCGGAGGAAGGUGGGGAUGACGUCAAAUCAUCAUGCCCCUUAUGAUUUGGGCUACACACGUGCUACAAUGGACAAUACAAAGGGCAGCGAAACCGCGAGGUCAAGCAAAUCCCAUAAAGUUGUUCUCAGUUCGGAUUGUAGUCUGCAACUCGACUACAUGAAGCUGGAAUCGCUAGUAAUCGUAGAUCGGCAUGCUACGGUGAAUACGUUCCCGGGUCU
Molecule: ribosomal RNA, 1372 nt
Filed under: uncultured bacterium
Lineage: Bacteria
Description: bacterial SSU rRNA
Rfam family: Bacterial small subunit ribosomal RNA
Source: RNAcentral